RNAcentral lists this ribosomal RNA (253 nucleotides) under uncultured bacterium. RNAcentral describes it as "partial 16S ribosomal RNA". It matches the Rfam family "Bacterial small subunit ribosomal RNA", at positions 524 to 776 of the family's 1533-position model. The record is from RNAcentral.
GACAGAGGGUGCAAACGUUGUUCGGAAUUACUGGGCGUAAAGCGAGUGUAGGCGGUUUGAUAAGUCGGGUGUGAAAGCCCUGGGCUCAACCCAGGAAGUGCACUCGAUACUGUCAGGCUAGAGUAUCGGAGAGGUUGGUGGAAUUCUCGGUGUAGAGGUGAAAUUCGUAGAUAUCGAGAGGAACACCGGUGGCGAAGGCGGCCAACUGGACGAAUACUGACGCUGAGACUCAAAAGCGUGGGGAGCAAACAGG